GAAUUACUGGGCGUAAAGCGCACGCAGGCGGUCUGUCAAGUCGGAUGUGAAAUCCCCGGGCUCAACCUGGGAACUGCAUUCGAAACUGGCAGGCUUGAGUCUUGUAGAGGGGGGUAGAAUUCCAGGUGUAGCGGUGAAAUGCGUAGAGAUCUGGAGGAAUACCGGUGGCGAAGGCGGCCCCCUGGACAAAGACUGACGCUCAGGUGCGAAAGCGUGGGGAGCAAACAGGAUUAGAUACCCUGGUAGUCCACGCCGUAAACGAUGUCUACUUGGAGGUUGUGCCCUUGAGGCGUGGCUUCCGGAGCUAACGCGUUAAGUAGACCGCCUGGGGAGUACGGCCGCAAGGUUAAAACUCAAAUGAAUUGACGGGGGCCCGCACAAGCGGUGGAGCAUGUGGUUUAAUUCGAUGCAACGCGAAGAACCUUACCUGGUCUUGACAUCCACGGAAGUUUUCAGAGAUGAGAAUGUGCCUUCGGGAACCGUGAGACAGGUGCUGCAUGGCUGUCGUCAGCUCGUGUUGUGAAAUGUUGGGUUAAGUCCCGCAACGAGCGCAACCCUUAUCCUUUGUUGCCAGCGGUUAGGCCGGGAACUCAAAGGAGACUGCCAGUGAUAAACUGGAGGAAGGUGGGGAUGACGUCAAGUCAUCAUGGCCCUUACGACCAGGGCUACACACGUGCUACAAUGGCGCAUACAAAGAGAAGCGACCUCGCGAGAGCAAGCGGACCUCAUAAAGUGCGUCGUAGUCCGGAUUGGAGUCUGCAACUCGACUCCAUGAAGUCGGAAUCGCUAGUAAUCGUGGAUCAGAAUGCCACGGUGAAUACGUUCCCGGGCCUUGUACACACCGCCCGUCACACCAUGGGAGUGGGUUGCAAAAGAAGUAGGUAGCUUAACCUUCGGGAGGGCGCUUACCACUUUGUGAUUCAUGACUGGGGUGAAGUCGUAACAAGGUAACCGUAGGGGAACCUGC
Molecule: ribosomal RNA, 967 nt
Filed under: Salmonella enterica subsp. enterica serovar Telelkebir
Lineage: Bacteria; Pseudomonadati; Pseudomonadota; Gammaproteobacteria; Enterobacterales; Enterobacteriaceae
Description: bacterial SSU rRNA
Rfam family: Bacterial small subunit ribosomal RNA
Source: RNAcentral